Molecule: ribosomal RNA, 852 nt
Filed under: uncultured Flavobacteriaceae bacterium
Lineage: Bacteria; Pseudomonadati; Bacteroidota; Flavobacteriia; Flavobacteriales; Flavobacteriaceae
Description: bacterial SSU rRNA
Rfam family: Bacterial small subunit ribosomal RNA
Source: RNAcentral
AGGCUUAACACAUGCAAGUCGAGGGGUAACAGGGAUUGCUUGCAAUCCGCUGACGACCGGCGAACGGGUGCGUAACGCGUAUGCAACUUACCUUCUACAGGGGGAUAGCCCAGAGAAAUUUGGAAUAAUACCCCAUAAGAUCAUUAAUUGGCAUCAAUUUAUGAUGAAAACUCCGGUGGUAGAAGAUGGGCAUGCGUCCUAUUAGUUAGUUGGUAAGGUAAUGGCUUACCAAGACUUCGAUAGGUAGGGGUCCUGAGAGGGAGAUCCCCCACACUGGUACUGAGACACGGACCAGACUCCUACGGGAGGCAGCAGUGAGGAAUAUUGGACAAUGGAGGCAACUCUGAUCCAGCCAUGCCGCGUGCAGGAAGAAAGCCCUAUGGGUUGUAAACUGCUUUUAUAUAGGAAGAAUUAUAUCUACGUGUAGAUAUUUGACGGUACUGUACGAAUAAGGAUCGGCUAACUCCGUGCCAGCAGCCGCGGUAAUACGGAGGAUCCAAGCGUUAUCCGGAAUCAUUGGGUUUAAAGGGUCCGUAGGCGGUUUAAUAAGUCAGAGGUGAAAUCCUGCAGCUCAACUGUAGCAUUGCCUUUGAUACUGUUAGACUUGAGUUAUUGUGAAGUAAUUAGAAUGUGUAGUGUAGCGGUGAAAUGCAUAGAUAUUACACAGAAUACCGAUUGCGAAAGCAGAUUACUAACAAUAUACUGACGCUGAGGGACGAAAGCGUGGGUAGCGAACAGGAUUAGAUACCCUGGUAGUCCACGCCGUAAACGAUGGAUACUAGCUGUUCGAUCAACAUUGGUUGGUUGAGUGGCUAAGCGAAAGUGAUAAGUAUCCCACCUGGGGAGUACGCU